AUUGAACGCUGGCGGCAGGCCUAACACAUGCAAGUCGAACGAGUGGCGGACGGGUGAGUAAUGUCUGGGCACCUGCCUGAUGGAGGGGGAUAACUACUGGAAACUGUAGCUACUACCGCCUACCACCAGAUGUGCCCAGUUGGGAUUCGCUAGUGGGUGGGGUAACGGCGCACCAAGGCGACGACCCGUAGCUGGUCUGAGAGGAGGACCAGCCACACUGGAACGGAGACACGGUCCAGACUCCUACGGGAGGCAGCAGUGGGGAAUUUUGGACAAUGGGGGCAAGCCUGAUGCAGCCAUCCCGCGUGUAUGAAGAAGGCCUUCGGGUUGUAAAGUACUUUCAGCGGGGAGGCGUUACCCGCAGAAGAAGCACCGGCUAACUACGUGCCAGCAGCCGCGGUAAUUC
Molecule: ribosomal RNA, 406 nt
Filed under: uncultured bacterium
Lineage: Bacteria
Description: partial 16S ribosomal RNA
Rfam family: Bacterial small subunit ribosomal RNA
Source: RNAcentral